RNAcentral lists this long non-coding RNA (1193 nucleotides) under Homo sapiens (human). RNAcentral describes it as "HSALNT0324400". The record is from RNAcentral. Lineage: Eukaryota; Metazoa; Chordata; Mammalia; Primates; Hominidae.
CAUAUGUCAGAAGGAGGAUCAUCUGCUGUGGGUGUUCCUGAUCUUUGAGCCAUGAUAAUGUUACUGGUUGGAUGUCAGGAGCAGGCCAUGUGGAUGAUUAAAAGAUGAAUAUCAUAUACAGCAUGGAUAUGUUGGACAAAAAGAUGAUUCACAUCCCAGACAGAAUGGAGCAGCACAUUUAUUAAAAGCCAGAAGCUAGAAGACGAGGAAAGAAGAGGUGGUUAAAGAAAGAUACAGUAACAGCAGUAAUAUCUAACAGGAAGGCUACAGGGGAAAAUACAGAAAUUCCAUAAAGAACAAACACUGUAACUCAAAACCAAAGCUUUGCUAGUCACUAGUGCCCGCUACAUCCUAACAGAUGCAGCUGGAGAGCCUGGGGUGAGAACAUGAGCAGUCUAUAAUCAGAAAAUCCCUUUGGGAUAAAUUGACAAAAAUAUAAACCACUCCACAAAGGAGAAAUUGUAAAUGUUGUUCUUCCAGAUGGCAUGAAUCCAACAGUGAAGAAAUCAGAAUACGUUGCUUUUGUGAGGGGCAGCUGCUGAUUUUCUCUGAGCUCCGUUUCCAGCCUUCACAUGCUCUGCUAUUCAUCACAGGGUAAAUUCUGACUAUAGGAGGUACUGACAGAAGAUUAGGGAAGAACAGAGGGCUAAAUGUUUAUUGACUUCUUGAAAAAUGCUAUGUGUCUUGCCAGACUUAGCUUACAAGUUUGGUUAAAGAGAGACUGACAUGAGCAUAAAGGAAGGGACAUUGAAAGAGGCAGAGAUGAAGGAAGAAAUUGUAACUUACUCCUUUUAUCCCACCCAUCAAAGGAAAGACAAGUUGACAAGUAUUGAUUCUGCAACAAACUGAGAAGAAACCUGGCGAUUCACAACAGAGAGCUGAGAAAUCCUAAGUCUGGAUUCCAGCUAAAUGGGAGCAGACUAAAUAGAGCGGCAGUCGGCGAACUACAUGUAGCCCAUGAACAAAAUCCGGUCCAGCACGUGUGUUUUUUUUUACGGCCCACAAAUGAGUCUGUCUUUACAGAUGAAUGUUAAAACUGGGUUGACAAGAGAGAACACUCACUUUGAACCGCAACUAAACAAAAUAUUAUCACCUUUCCCCUCAAAAAAGUAAUUGCUUCAAGGAUAGGGUUACAAUUCAAGUUAGUCCAGUGAGACUGAAUCCCAGGACUUAUGUUUUAAUUAUUGGAGAAG